This is a long non-coding RNA of Panthera uncia (snow leopard), 647 nucleotides long. RefSeq lists it as uncharacterized. Lineage: Eukaryota; Metazoa; Chordata; Mammalia; Carnivora; Felidae. The transcript has 6 exons. The record is from RefSeq and is a predicted model, not a curated record.
GCGAGAGCGAGAGCGAGAGCGAGAGCGAGAGAGAGAGAGAGAGAGAGGGAGAGAAUUCUAAUCAGGGCUCUGCACUGGCAGGGCUUGAAUUGAUGAACUGUGAGAUCAUGACCUGAGCCAAAACCAAGAGUUGGACGCUUAACCUACUGAGCCACCCAGGUUAGCUGCCCUAUUCUCUCUGGAUAGAUCCUUUUUCUGGCAAAUCAGAGUCCUUCAUUUUCUUGGCACAAGGACUGGCCUGGAGAAGCUAAAAGGAUAUCAGUCUGGAGAAAGCUGAGGGUAGACAUAGAAGAAGCCAAAUGGAGACCAGAGGAAAUGAGGGAAGCAGAAGAACAGACUUACAGAAGGAAUGAUCUGAGGUGAAUGUAUAGGGUUAGAGUGUGCUUUUUGGCACAGACCCUUGUGCCUGAUGCUGCCCUGGAGCCAACUGGAGGCAGAUGGUCCUGCUGACGACGGGUCAGAAGGUCAGUGGUCACCUACCUCUACGUCACAAUCCUGCGUCCUUCACCCGACUUCUCAUCACAGAGGCAUUUUCUCAUCUCACAUCAUCACAAGUAGGGGCUCAUGAAAGAUACAAGCUCAAGACAAAAGAGAACAAGAAAACCUUGGAACCAGAUUUCUGGUCACAAUAAAGAGAUUACUUUAAG